This 479-nucleotide ribosomal RNA is filed under the name uncultured bacterium. RNAcentral describes it as "bacterial SSU rRNA". It matches the Rfam family "Bacterial small subunit ribosomal RNA", at positions 29 to 507 of the family's 1533-position model. The record is from RNAcentral.
AACGAACGCUGGCGGCAUGCUUAACACAUGCAAGUCGAACGCUUGUAGUAAUACAAGAGUGGCGCACGGGUGAGUAAUACGUAGGUAAUGUACCAUACUGUACGGGAUAACCGACCGAAAGGUUGGCUAAUACCGUAUACGCUUUCUUGAGGUUUGCCGAUGGAAAGGAAAGGGGGGCAACUCCCGCGGUUUGAUCAGCCUGCGUCCCCUCAGCUAGUUGGUGAGGUAAUGGCUCCCCGAGGCAACGACGGGUAGCUGGUUUGAGAGGAUGAUCAGCCCCCCUGGGACUGAGACCCGGCCCCGACUCCUUCGGGAGGCAGCAGUGGGGAAUAUUGGACAAUGGGCGAAAGCCUGAUCCAGCAAUGCCGCGUGAGUGAUGAAGGCCUUCGGGUUGUAAAGCUCUGUCGAGAGGGACGAAUGGCUUCGGGUAACGCCGAAGAUUGACGGUACCUCUAAAGGAAGCCCCGGCUAACUCUGUG